RNA transcript from Sebastes umbrosus (honeycomb rockfish), 3202 nucleotides. It is a transcript of the gene named TAR DNA binding protein, with no coding region annotated. The transcript is spliced from 7 exons. Lineage: Eukaryota; Metazoa; Chordata; Actinopteri; Perciformes; Sebastidae. The record is from RefSeq and is a predicted model, not a curated record.
CCUCAUGGAAUGAACCCGUCCAAUCUAGUGACGUAGUUCCGUCUUCCUUUAGAUAAGCGCAGUCGUUCAUGGUGGCUUCACAUGUCUCCUCGUGGAAAACAAAUAGUCCUGCUGUAUUUACUGCGCGUUUAACACCAGACGUUUUGUUGACGGUGGACAGUUUCAUCACAACUCGUUUUAAGUAAGUCGUUUAGUCGUAUUAUACCGUUAUUUACCUUGGGACCGUCCGCAGUGUCUCAUCACCGCGGCUCGCUGAUCUCCGUUGCUCGGUGUGUUGACGACACAGAUCCCCGCUGCUCAGCGAACAAAGGAACAAACAGGCCGAUAGCACGACCGCUAACCGCGGAAUAGAACCGCGAUAUUAUUCAUGAAAUAACUUAAAAUUAACCUCACUCUUAACACUUUGGUUUUGUUAUAGUAUUUUAAGUUGAUACGUCUUUAUUCCUCCAACUCUAACGAACCAGUUAGUCUCAUUCAGUCCCGUUAGCAUCGUCGGCUAACGUUAGCUGCUAACUAGCUUAGCUUUAGCAUUGUUGUGCUUCUCGCUGCAACAUGGCUGAGGUGUACAUCCGCGUGGCGGAGGAGGAGAACGAGGAGCCCAUGGAGAUCCCGUCGGAGGACGACGGCACGGUGCUGCUCUCCACCGUGGCGGCGCAGUUCCCCGGAGCCUGCGGCCUGCGGUUCAGGAGCCCCGUGUCCCAGUGCAUGAGAGGAGUCCGGCUGGUGGAGGGGGUCCUGCACGCUCCGGAGAACGGCUGGGGCAACGUGGUGUACGUGGUCAACUACCCGAAAGAGGAUCUCCAGGAGGAGACGAUAAAGAAGAGAGCGAGUGAGAGAGACGACAACAAAAGGAAGAUGGAGGAAAUCGACGCCUCCUCUGCAGUGAAAAUGAAGCGAGGGGACAUGAAGACAUCUGACCUGAUCGUACUGGGGCUUCCUUGGAAAACAUCUGAGCAGGACCUGAAAGACUACUUUAGCACGUUUGGAGAAGUCAUCAUGGUCCAGGUGAAACGAGAUGCCAAGACUGGAAACUCUAAAGGAUUCGGCUUUGUGAGGUUCACGGAGUACGAGGCUCAAGAAAAGGUCAUCUCCCAGCGUCAUAUGAUUGAUGGGAGAUGGUGUGACUGCAAGCUCCCUAAUUCGAAGCAAGGUCCAGAUGAGCCAUUGAGGAGCCGGAAAGUGUUUGUAGGCCGUUGCACAGAAGACAUGACCACCGACGACCUACGACAGUUCUUUAUGCAGUAUGGCGAAGUCACAGAUGUCUUCAUCCCAAAGCCAUUCCGUGCUUUUGCCUUUGUCACAUUUGCAGAUGAUCAGGUUGCCCAGUCUCUCUGUGGAGAGGACCUUAUUAUCAAAGGCGUCAGUGUUCACAUCUCAAAUGCUGAGCCCAAACAUGGCAAUAGGCAGUUUGAUCGUACAGCGCGGUUUGGGAAUGGUUUUGGAGCUCAAGCAUUUGGUAGCAGCGGUAGAAGUGGGUUAGGGAGCAGCACUAACAGUAGUCUGGCUAAUUUUGGUUCCUUCAGUCUGAACCCUGCUAUGAUGGCUGCUGCUCAGGCUGCUCUGCAGAGUAGUUGGGGGAUGAUGGGUAUGUUAGCUAGCCAGCAGCAGACGUCCACUUCAGGCGGCACCUCCAGUGGGACAAGCUCUAGCAGGGACCAGAGUCAGUCUUUCAGUACAGGCGGCAACAACAGCAACUACGGCACCAGCUCAGCCAGUCUCGGCUGGGGAACAGGGUCAAACUCUACAACCGGUGGUAGUGGGUUUAGCUCAGGUUUUGGGUCCAGUAUGGAGUCAAAGUCAUCUGGGUGGGGUAUGUAAGUUAAUUGUUUGUAUGGUAAGUAUUGUGACACAGAUGAGUCUUUUAAAAAUUUAUUUCUGGUGUUGAUGCGUAUCUGAAAAACUUAACACUUUUGUGGAAAGAUGUUUUGUACAUUUGGAAAAAAAUGCUAAAGAUUUAAUUUAGAAAGUGUUGAAGUGAGUUGUUUACCAGGAUGUCUGACUUAAAGUGCUAUUUUUGAUGUUUUCAUUUGUUUGUAUCCAUUUCAACUGGAUUCUCUAAUGCAUGUAUUGUGAAAUGUGAUAUAACCAUUUUGAAAAAUUGCAUGAAUGUUUGUGGUUCACCAUUAUCCGGCUUUUUUGUCAUCGACUUAAAAAGAGCAAUCUUGCAUUGGGAAGAAUCUGGUUGAAACCUAAAUGUUUUAAGUGCAACUUUAUUUGCAGUCAAGUUCUGUGGAAAAGCCUUCAUUGAAAUCUCUUCUGCAGUUCACCUCUCUUCCAUUUUCCUGUGAGGAAGCUCCUCUUUGGCAGCAUUCUUGGGGUGAUAUCGGUAUCAUUCUCCCUCUUCCCACCUGUAAAUGCUAUGCCAUCAAACAACGGCUUCACUCCGCAUGUUCUAAGAGACGGGACCUUGGGCUCUGCUGGUCGAGGUCUCCGUUUGAACCCUGACUGAAGUCUGUUCUGAAGGACGAAGACGGAAGUUCCAACACUUUCAGUGUGUGGCCUUCUCAGACAUGACAUGGGGUAGUACCUGUCUUUUUGCUGCUUUUGAUGGCUUGUCAGAGUUAAUUAUCCCUUUUUGAUUAUCCACAGCUACUUUUAAAGUUGGAGGGAAGUUUCAGUUUUAUUAGUCAUAUGUAGGUUAACGCAGGGUCAAUAGGAAAUGAAUUGUUUUGUUUUCAUUUUAACCUUAAAUAGUUGAGCUCAGCAAUGUGGCAUUGCCUCUCCAAAAUAUGUGUUGUCCCUAAUUUGGCUUCAGUAAUCGACAACUAAUGGCACUUUGCUUUGGAGUUUUUAGAUGGCCUUAUACACUUAGUGUCACUUUAUUAGGUACACCUGUACAAUCCAUUGCAAAUCAAUACAACAGUUCUGCCAUACAUUCUACCUUCAGGAAGUUUAAUUGUUAAAUUUUUUUGUUGAUAUUGUUGGAAAUGUGUAAAUUCAAUUAUGUUUCACACUGAGGUCACAGGUGGUGUGCUGGACUACAUUGAAUUGAGACGUGUUACAAAUUUUUGGUCCUUAUUUACAUUCAUGAGUAGGACUGUGUAUUGGCAAGAAUCUGGCGAUACAAUAUGUAUCACAAUACAAGGGUUAAGAAUUCAAUAUACUGUAAGCAAGGUGAUAUAUUGCGAUUUUAAAAAAAAAAAAACUAAUUUUAGGAAAACUCAGUAUAAAGAACAAAGAAAAAGGGUUUACUUUUUUUUUU